CCUGUCCUCACGGGUUGCAUCCCAGCCCCCUCUAGAGGCAGGUUUUGUGAGGCAAGCAUUUUCCUGGUGGCUGACGUGUCCCAGCACCUGGAGAAAAUCGUGCCUGCUUGUGGUGGGUGCUCAGAAGAUGCCAACCGGAUGGAAGACAGUCAGAGGCUCACAGACGGAAGGGAUUGUGAGGAGCCAGGAGACUUUAGGGUCUCUGAAAGGAAAGCAAGGAUCAGGGAGACAGACGGAAACAGGCAGAGAGACACACGAGAGUUUAGUGUCAGAGCUGACAAAUGAAGGCCACCUCUCCCCAGACGGAGAGGGCCAAACAGGCUUCAGGUCCUGAUGCCGUGGUUAAGGUGGGGUCGGUGUGAGGGGUGGUGAGUCUUUCUCAGAAACACCCUUGGGCAGAAAGCGAGACUUUUUCUUAAGAUGGCGGCUGUCACUUAGGAUGGCCGUCCAGAUGCUGAGCAAGGACCUCGCAGUCUCCAGAUGGUCACUUGCUGGCUGGCAAGGCAGGGGGAUUCUGAGGACCAUCUUAUUCUGAUGACAAGGAGAUAGUUUCAAGUUUCAAAACAGGAUGGCCUGUAGCUCUGGGAACUUUGGGGCCCCUUCAUUACUAUGCCGUGACCCUUGUCACGGUCAUCAGCCGACUGGGUCUUGUGUUUGCUUGGAUCUUGAGAUAAGUAGGAACCUACGUAUGCACUUAAACUUAUCUCUGCCCACUCACCUGCCUGCUGCCAUCGACUUCUCUGUCACCCUUCACCCAUCCAUCCACGUCUGGCCACCCAUCCUCCAUCCACGUUCACCUUCCGCGUCCACCUACCCUCUGUCCCUUCAUCAGUCCACGACCCCUCCACCCACCCAUUCAUGUCUCCACCCACCGUCAUCCACCCGUGUCUCCACCCACCCAUUUUUUUUCUACACUUACAAUAUGGAGCUCACAUUGCACAUGCAACAUUUUGUGUCCUGAACUUUCACUUAAUAUUGCAGUGUGCAUAUCUUCUCAUGAAAAUUUAAAUGGUUG
This 1015-nucleotide long non-coding RNA is filed under the name Marmota monax (woodchuck). Lineage: Eukaryota; Metazoa; Chordata; Mammalia; Rodentia; Sciuridae. The record is from RNAcentral.